AACGAGCGCUGGCGGCAGGCCUAACACAUGCAAGUCGAACGCCCCGCAAGGGGAGUGGCAGACGGGUGAGUAACACGUGGGAACCUUCCCUAUAGUACGGAAUAGCCCAGGGAAACUUGGAGUAAUACCGUAUACGCCCGAAAGGGGAAAGAAUUUCGCUAUAGGAUGGGCCCGCGUAGGAUUAGCUAGUUGGUGAGGUAAUGGCUCACCAAGGCGACGAUCCUUAGCUGGUUUGAGAGAACGACCAGCCACACUGGGACUGAGACACGGCCCAGACUCCUACGGGAGGCAGCAGUGGGGAAUAUUGGACAAUGGGCGCAAGCCUGAUCCAGCCAUGCCGCGUGAGUGAUGAAGGCCUUAGGGUUGUAAAGCUCUUUUGGCGGGGACGAUAAUGACGGUACCCGCAGAAUAAGUCCCGGCUAACUUCGUG
Molecule: ribosomal RNA, 430 nt
Filed under: uncultured bacterium
Lineage: Bacteria
Description: partial 16S ribosomal RNA
Rfam family: Bacterial small subunit ribosomal RNA
Source: RNAcentral